UGGUAUUUAGUUUAAAACAAAAUAAAUGAUUUCGACUCAUUAGAUUGUGANUAAAUUCAUAAUUACCAA
This 69-nucleotide transfer RNA is filed under the name Rusa unicolor (Sambar). RNAcentral describes it as "tRNA-Arg". It matches the Rfam family "tRNA". From Rfam's summary of the family: Transfer RNA (tRNA) molecules are approximately 80 nucleotides in length. Their secondary structure includes four short double-helical elements and three loops (D, anti-codon, and T loops). Further hydrogen bonds mediate the characteristic L-shaped molecular structure. tRNAs have two regions of fundamental functional importance: the anti-codon, which is responsible for specific mRNA codon recognition, and the 3' end, to which the tRNAs corresponding amino acid is attached (by aminoacyl-tRNA synthetases). tRNAs cope with the degeneracy of the genetic code in two manners: having more than one tRNA (with a specific anti-codon) for a particular amino acid; and 'wobble' base-pairing, i.e. permitting non-standard base-pairing at the 3rd anti-codon position. The record is from RNAcentral. Lineage: Eukaryota; Metazoa; Chordata; Mammalia; Artiodactyla; Cervidae.